RNAcentral lists this ribosomal RNA (569 nucleotides) under uncultured bacterium. RNAcentral describes it as "partial 16S ribosomal RNA". It matches the Rfam family "Bacterial small subunit ribosomal RNA", at positions 355 to 912 of the family's 1533-position model. The record is from RNAcentral.
UGGGGAAUAUUGCACAAUGGGCGCAAGCCUGAUGCAGCCAUGCCGCGUGUGUGAAGAAGGCCUUCGGGUUGUAAAGCACUUUCAGCGAGGAGGAAGGUGGUGAGCUUAAUACGCUCAUCAAUUGACGUUACUCGCAGAAGAAGCACCGGCUAACUCCGUGCCAGCAGCCGCGGUAAUACGGAGGGUGCAAGCGUUAAUCGGAAUUACUGGGCGUAAAGCGCACGCAGGCGGUUUGUUAAGUCAGAUGUGAAAUCCCCGGGCUCAACCUGGGAACUGCAUUUGAAACUGGCAAGCUAGAGUCUCGUAGAGGGGGGUAGAAUUCCAGGUGUAGCGGUGAAAUGCGUAGAGAUCUGGAGGAAUACCGGUGGCGAAGGCGGCCCCCUGGACGAAGACUGACGCUCAGGUGCGAAAGCGUGGGGAGCAAAACAGGAUUAGAUACCCUGGUAGUCCACGCUGUAAAACGAUGUCGAUUUUGGAGGUUGUGCCCCUUGAGGCGUGGNUUCCGGAGCUAACGCGUUAAAUCGACCGCCUGGGGAGUACGGCCNCAAGGUUAAAACUUAAAUGAAUUG